This 406-nucleotide ribosomal RNA is filed under the name uncultured bacterium. RNAcentral describes it as "partial 16S ribosomal RNA". It matches the Rfam family "Bacterial small subunit ribosomal RNA", at positions 30 to 526 of the family's 1533-position model. The record is from RNAcentral.
AUUGAACGCUGGCGGCAGGCCUAACACAUGCAAGUCGAACGCGUGGCGGACGGGUGAGUAAUGUCUGGGAAAGUGCGUUGUGGGGGGGUAUAACUACUGGAAACUGUAGCUUAUACCGCAUACCCUCAUGUGCGCCCAUGUGGUAUUAGCUUGUUGGGGGGGUAACGGCGCACCAAGGCGACGAUCACUAGCUGGUCUGAGAGGAUGACCAGCCACACUGGAACUGAGACACGGUCCAGACUCCUACGGGAGGCAGCAGUGGGGAAUAUUGCACAAUGGGCGCAAGCCUGAUGCAGCCAUGCCGCGUGUAUGAAGAAGGCCUUCGGGUUGUAAAGUACUUUCAGCGGGGAGGCGUUACCCGCAGAAGAAGCACCGGCUAACUCCGUGCCAGCAGCCGCGGUAAUUC